GUUUCCGUAGUGUAGCGGUUAUCACGUCUGCGUCACCCGCAGAAGGUCCCCGGUUCGAUCCCGGGCGGGAACA
RNAcentral lists this transfer RNA (73 nucleotides) under Schistocerca americana (American grasshopper). Its description in RNAcentral is "tRNA-Val". The record is from RNAcentral. Lineage: Eukaryota; Metazoa; Arthropoda; Insecta; Orthoptera; Acrididae.